CCUACGGGAGGCAGCAGUGGGGAAUUUUGGACAAUGGGCGAAAGCCUGAUCCAGCAAUGCCGCGUGCAGGAAGAAGGCCUUCGGGUUGUAAACUGCUUUUGUACGGAACGAAACGGUCUGCUUUAAUACAGUGGGCUAAUGACGGUACCGUAAGAAUAAGCACCGGCUAACUACGUGCCAGCAGCCGCGGUAAUACGUAGGGUGCGAGCGUUAAUCGGAAUUACUGGGCGUAAAGCGUGCGCAGGCGGUUAUAUAAGACAGUUGUGAAAUCCCCGGGCUCAACCUGGGAAUUGCAUCUGUGACUGUAUAGCUAGAGUACGGUAGAGGGGGAUGGAAUUCCGCGUGUAGCAGUGAAAUGCGUAGAUAUGCGGAGGAACACCGAUGGCGAAGGCAAUCCCCUGGACCUGUACUGACGCUCAUGCACGAAAGCGUGGGGAGCAAACAGGAUUAGAUACCCUGGUAGUCCACGCCCUAAACGAUGUCAACUGGUUGUUGGGUGCAUUAGUACUCAGUAACGAAGCUAACGCGUGAAGUUGACCGCCUGGGGAGUACGGCCGCAAGGUUGAAACUCAAAUGAAUUGAGGG
This 585-nucleotide ribosomal RNA is filed under the name uncultured prokaryote. Its description in RNAcentral is "bacterial SSU rRNA". It matches the Rfam family "Bacterial small subunit ribosomal RNA", at positions 338 to 916 of the family's 1533-position model. The record is from RNAcentral.